Acanthopagrus latus (yellowfin seabream) is the source of this 1595-nucleotide long non-coding RNA. RefSeq lists it as uncharacterized. The transcript has 3 exons. NCBI's taxonomy places the organism in Eukaryota, Metazoa, Chordata, Actinopteri, Spariformes, Sparidae. The record is from RefSeq and is a predicted model, not a curated record.
UAGCCUUUAUCUCAACCCAGGUGUGUGUGCAUGCACACAAACAAAUCAAAUUACAGGUUGUUUCUUUUAUUUGUGACCAUAAGAGUUCUGUGCCUGAAUAAAAAUAAUUAGAUUAAGAUAGGCUACACUAAAAUCCCAGCAGCACCGAGAUCCUCGCAGUGGCAUUUGCAGGUAGUGGCACCGCAGUGGCAACCUGUGGCAUGUCCGUGGCAUCUAGUGGCAUCCGGCAUCGGCAGGUAAGUGGCACUACAGUGGCAACCUGUGGCAUGUCCGUGGCAUCUAGUGGCAUCCGGCAUCGGCAGGUAAGUGGCACUACAGUGGCAACCUGUGGCAUGUCCGUGGCAUCUCUACUUGUUUACACAUUUUAAUUUACAAAGUUUUGCACAAUUUCUCUAUGUUUUGCACUUCUUAAUAUUAUCUUACUAUAUAUUAAUAUCUGUUCCAUAGCAUAAAUGUGAAUGUAAGCUAGUGUACAUAUUGUACUGCCUUUGUUCAAUGUUUUACCAUGAAAUAAAUGAGACCACCAUUUAUGGCUUGAGGUCCAUUUAACCUUCAUUUUGAUCACAGGGUAUGCAGUAAUUCAUGCCAUAAAAGAUUGGUCUCAAGGACCGUCCAAAGUGGCUCCAUGUUUGAGAAUUCUCAUGUACCGCUGCAAACAUGGAUGCAUUUCAUCUACAGAUUUGCUCAAGGUCUUCGCCUACAACAAGUUGACAUGAUACAAGAGGGGAUUACUCAGAGCUCUGCAACACUGACAAAACUUGCUGAGAAGCUGCGGGGGGUUUGCAAAGCUGCAAAGAAGAGAAUGAGAGGAAGAGGCAAACAGACCAGUGGAAGAAGAUCUGAUAGAUGCGAGCAAAUUUGGUCAUAAAAGGAAGUACACCAAAGGACGGGCAAGCAACAGGAGUUCCUGGGUUUUCAGAAUGCUGGGCACUAAGGAGGACAUGAGAAGACCUGCGUUCAAGAUAGUUACUCACCAUUCAGCCAAUCAUCUCCUCCCCCUAAUAAAAAUGCACAUUCGACAGGGAACCUCCAUCAUUAUAGAUGGAUGGAGAUCAUAUCAUCGUCUUCAGGAUGAAGGUCACAGUUAUUUGACUGUUACCAAAAGAAUGUUUUGUUGACCAUCUGACAGGUGCACAUACACAAAAUAUUGAGCGACUUUGGGGCAUUUGCAAAUCAACUAUAUGGAGAUUAGAAGGAAACAGCACACAAAAUUUAUUGAAAUAUCACUUAGAUGUAAUUGAGUGGACUUACUGGCGUGGAGACCAACACAGACAUGGACCACUGGGCAUGCUUUUGCAUUGUAGUGUUGUUCGGUAAUGAAUGUGUAAUAGAAGUCCUACACAUCCAAAAUGCCCUUGUAUUAUUUUACUAGUUAGCUAAUCAGCUGUGGAAUGUACUUCUGUUGUCUUGUCCUUGACAGCCUUUUAUUGAUUUGUCCCAACUCAGUGACAAGAUAUAUUUUUACAUUUACUUUUGCAUACUGUCACUCACAUAAUUAUGUUAUCCUUGAACAAGAAAGAAUCAUUUGCAUUGACCUGAGUCUUUGGAUUUAUUUUUGUUGAGAAGAAUGUAUGGCUUGACUGUUUACAGUUUAC